GGCUUCAUAGCUCAGUUGAUUAGAGCGUAGCACCAACAUCGCGAGGUCACGGGUUCAAAUCCCGUUGAAGUCC
Molecule: transfer RNA, 73 nt
Filed under: Acropora cervicornis
Lineage: Eukaryota; Metazoa; Cnidaria; Anthozoa; Scleractinia; Acroporidae
Description: tRNA-Val
Rfam family: tRNA
About the family: Transfer RNA (tRNA) molecules are approximately 80 nucleotides in length.
Source: RNAcentral